Molecule: small RNA, 1198 nt
Filed under: Tannerella forsythia KS16
Lineage: Bacteria; Pseudomonadati; Bacteroidota; Bacteroidia; Bacteroidales; Tannerellaceae
Description: Acido-Lenti-1 RNA
Source: RNAcentral
UAAAGAAGGGAGUUUGAGUAUAUUAUUAAGCUCUACGCAGCAACUGCAUGCUAAAUAUUCGAACGCAAUGAAAUGAAAAAUGAAAAGUGAAGAACUAAAAGUGAAAAAUGAUGUCCUUCGGGUGUUUAACUGUUGCGCUAACGGCUAAAAACGGAUGGCUGACCCCUAAUUUAAUUCAGGCUUUCAGCCCUCUGAAUAAGGUAUGGGUAUGAAUUACCCCACCCUUGCGGGAUGGGGCUGAACUAUAUCGGGCUUUCAGCCCUUGUGCUCCGUAGAGGUAUUUAGAGCUUGAGUUGUUUGUCGCUCUCCGAGCGAUGAUAAGUGUCAAUAGUUAAUGGUCAAUGGUCAUGGAUGAUACACUCUGAAUCAUGUACCCGGCAAAUAACCAUUAAUUCUUGACAACUAACCAUUAAAAUGCAAAAAGUGACUUGCUUAAUAGUACUUAUGUAUCAAUCAAACUCUUUCCCGAAUAAAAGACCCUCACUUUUUCUGUCUUUAUUUUCUUUUCUCAAACGAUGGAUUGCUGUUUUUAUCUGUUUAGAGAGACUUUGAAAGAGAUAAAAAAAUUUUGAGGUUUAAUUGAUUGCUCUUUUGAUAAGAUUAUUUUCUUUUUUGCUUUGCUAAACUUCUCUUUUGCUUUGCUCGUUUUAUCUUCUUCACAGUUCAUUUUAUCUUCUUUACAAUUGAAAAGUUCUUUUGCCAUACUAAACUUCUCUUUUGCUUUGCUCGUUUUGUCUUCUUCACAAUUCAUUUUAUUUUCUUUACAAUUGAGAGGUUCUUUUGCCAUGAUGAACUUCUCUUUUGCUUUGCUCGUUUUAUCUUCUUCACAAUUCAUUUUAUUUUCUUUAUAAUUGAGAGGUUCUUUUGCCAUGAUGAACUUCUCUUUUGCUUUACUCAUUUUAUCUUUUUAACCAUUUGACAAUUCCAAGAAGAGAAAAUACUUCUACAACUUAUCAAAUAGUAUAUAAACUUUUUCUUAUCGUCAUACAGCUUAAUAUUAUGGAUAAAACUCUAAUAAAAAGAAGAUUAUAUUGAGAAGGAAACAGAAUUUUUUCUUUCUUAUAAGCAUAUAUUCAAGCUUCAAAAAGUUAAUAAUAAUUAAAUCCAAUAAUUAAGGGUACUUUUUUGAUGAAAAUGUAUUAUAUUUGAAGCAGAAAAGAUAAUUCAUUAUUUGUUAAACAUUUAAAUUUAAGUAACG